CAGACAUUGCAGGUGCAGAUGGUGCGAGUCCACGUUCCGACCCUCGUGAAGAGUUUACUGGACCAUGAGGUGAGGGAUGACCGGCAGCAGGCUACGUCUCUUGUCGGUUUCCUGGGAUUUCCUUCCUGAAAGAGUUUAAAAUAAGUUGUUAAGGGUGCAGACACUCCAAUGAUAAAAUGUUAUGAUUCCUGGCUUUCACCAGUUUCUUCUUCUUGAAGAACAAGACCCCAGUGCAUCAGGGCAGAUGCCAACAACUCUCUUCCAGAGGCAGUGCUGUCUCAUCAGUUUGGAGAGACAAAGAAAGUGUCCCCUGGGCAUACCUUGCUCAGAGUAGGUGCCCCACCACGUGCCCUGGAAGCCCAAGGUUUUGUAUCUCCAGCUCCUGGAACAAAGUUCAGCACAGAGCUAGGACUCUCUGAAUAUUUACUGAGUGAACGAACGCGCAAUUAUCCCUAAUUGAUAGCUGAGGAAACCAAGUCUCGGAGAGAUUGCAUACCUCACUGAAAAUGACAAGGCUGGAUGGUCAUGCAGGCAGGCUACAGGAAUGACAUACUGGGCUGAUUUCUCCGUGAGAGGGUAAUAUUUUGAAGUACAAGGAGUCUGAUUUGCAAGGUAGCGUGGGACUCUAAAAAUGACUGCCCCAAGUUGAAAACAUGCAAAACCACCUUAGUCAGUGCGUGGGGGAGGUUUGCAGGAUACCAUUAAUAUACUAAAAGCCACUGAAGUGUACACUUUAAAAAUGGUUAAGGUGGUGAAUUGUAUGUUAUGUGAACUUUGUCCCAAUAGAAAUUGUUUAAUGAACAAGUGAUAGAAAAAAAAAAAUCAGUGGGGAAAGUGUGAUUGUUCUAUGACCUUCAAAAUAUUAACAAUUUUCUUCUUGGUUAUAAUUACAUAGGGAAAUAAAAAAUAGUACAACUAACA
Molecule: long non-coding RNA, 921 nt
Organism: Cervus elaphus (red deer)
Lineage: Eukaryota; Metazoa; Chordata; Mammalia; Artiodactyla; Cervidae
Exons: 3
Source: RefSeq, a predicted model, not a curated record